CAAGCUGGGGAGCUGAAGAAGUUGUACUGCUAUUCUGCUCCACCAGCCACAUCACCAGGGCAACAUGGCAUUCACAGGCAAAUACGAAUUUGAGGGUGAUGAGAACUAUGACGAGUUUGUGAAGAAGAUUGGUCUCCCCAGUGACAAGGUUGAAAUGGGAAGGAAUUGCAAAAUAGUCACUGAGGUGGUGCAGAAUGGAAAUGACUUCACCUGGACACAGCAUCUCCCAGGAGGCCGCACCACCACCAACUCAUUCACAAUUGAUAAGGAAGCAGACAUGGAGACAAUGGGUGGUAAAAAGUUCAAGGCAACUGUUAAAAUGGAAAAUGGGAAACUAGUAGCUGAUUUUCCCAACUAUCACCAUACUGCAGAGAUUUCUGGAGGAAAGCUAGUAGAGACUUAAUCUGACCCAAUUCCACAAGCAGAACUAAGACAUCAAGAGACAAUUUCUGCUUAGAAGACAGAGUCACUAGAAGAAAGACUGGAAAUACAACUGUGUUCUACUCAGCUUUUCAGUAUCCUUAGAGCCAAAGGUACAACCCUUGGCAGAAAGGCACCGAGGUUCCAGUGACCAGUGGAUCCAGAUCAACGUCCUCUGAAUGAGCGAGUCAUAAGGAUUCUGUUCCUUCAUGGUUAUCAUUCAGAUACGGAUCUUGUAUCAACACAGGGUCUCUUCAGCUUCUACUCAUCUUCCCUUUUGCUCCCAUCAAUAUUUAUCCAUCAAAACACCCAGCUGCGUAUGACUGAUGACCACUGAAGUAACUGCUGCCAUAAGCCAUGGAAAAGCAAUGUCUAGGCUCUGUUUCUAAUGUCACCUGCAUGGCAACAGGCUCUUGGAGGGGCAGAGUCUGGGCAGAUAGCCGAAGGCCAGCUGGAAGAGCUGCACAGGAGUGCAGUGAGCUGCCAGCACUGCCAGCAAGCAGGCUGCUGGGCCUGCGGGCCUGCAAGGAGGCACGGUAAGCAAAGCACAAGUCUUGCACUGGUGACUGGAACUGGGAAAGCGUAGCUGCAUGCUGGGCUAAAGGCUGGUAACUGGAUUGCUGGAAGAGGACUUCAGUAAUAGCUUGACGUCUCAGAUUCCCCACUGCUUCUUGUUCUUGAUGUUGAAUUGUUACUUGCUUUAUGUUACUGGCUUCUUUGAUGUCAUUCUCAUAAUAUCUGAAACAAAUUGUAAGUAAGGUUUACCAAAGAAAGAAGUUCACAGAGCUUACGUUUAUCCCCAGGUUUCCACCAGUCAGGCUACAUCAUCAGCUUUUUGGCCCUAGCUGUAUAUGGCAAUCCUCACUUGCUUUCACAGUUAAUUUCUAAUUGCCCUGCUGCAAUCUU
Molecule: RNA transcript, 1326 nt
Organism: Colius striatus (speckled mousebird)
Lineage: Eukaryota; Metazoa; Chordata; Aves; Coliiformes; Coliidae
Gene: FABP6
Gene name: fatty acid binding protein 6
Exons: 6
Source: RefSeq, a predicted model, not a curated record